CACUGAAACAUCGGUUCCCGUGCUAUCACCGAAGUUAAGCAACAUCGAGCCUGGUCAGUAGAUAGAUGGGUGACUACUUGGGAAUACCAGGUGCUGUAA
This is a non-coding RNA of Acanthosepion pharaonis, 99 nucleotides long. The record is from the annotation of a GenBank genome assembly. NCBI's taxonomy places the organism in Eukaryota, Metazoa, Mollusca, Cephalopoda, Sepiida, Sepiidae.